CCUACGGGGCGCAGCAGUGGGGAAUAUUGGACAAUGGGGGGAACCCUGAUCCAGCGACGCCGCGUGAGUGAAGAAGUAUUUCGGUAUGUAAAGCUCUAUCAGCAGGGAAGAAAGAAAUGACGGUACCUGACUAAGAAGCCCCGGCUAACUACGUGCCAGCAGCCGCGGUAAUACGUAGGGGGCAAGCGUUAUCCGGAUUUACUGGGUGUAAAGGGGGCGUAGACGGCGAUGCAAGUCUGAAGUGAAAGGCGGGGGCCCAACCCCCGGACUGCUUUGGAAACUGUAUGGCUGGAGUGCAGGAGAGGUAAGUGGAAUUCCUAGUGUAGCGGUGAAAUGCGUAGAUAUUAGGAGGAACACGAGUGGCGAAGGCGGCUUACUGGACUGUAACUGACGUUGAGGCUCGAAAGCGUGGGGAGCAAACAGGAUUAGAUACCCCAGUAGUC
Molecule: ribosomal RNA, 443 nt
Filed under: uncultured bacterium
Lineage: Bacteria
Description: partial 16S ribosomal RNA
Rfam family: Bacterial small subunit ribosomal RNA
Source: RNAcentral